GCCUGGUAUGGUAGCCUAGUGGACAUGGCAUCUGCCCGGUAAGCGGAAGGUUGUGGGUUCGAUUCCCGCCCCUGGACA
Non-coding RNA from Cordylochernes scorpioides, 78 nucleotides. The record is from the annotation of a GenBank genome assembly. NCBI's taxonomy places the organism in Eukaryota, Metazoa, Arthropoda, Arachnida, Pseudoscorpiones, Chernetidae.